This 460-nucleotide ribosomal RNA is filed under the name uncultured bacterium. RNAcentral's name for it is "partial 16S ribosomal RNA". It matches the Rfam family "Bacterial small subunit ribosomal RNA", at positions 338 to 795 of the family's 1533-position model. The record is from RNAcentral.
CCUACGGGAGGCUGCAGUGAGGAAUAUUGGUCAAUGGCCGGAAGGCUGAACCAGCCAUGCCGCGUGAAGGUCAGUGCCCUAUGGGCGUUAAACUUCUUUUGUGCGGGAGCAAUAAUGGUCACGUGUGGCCAGACGAGAGUACCGUACGAAUAAGCAUCGGCUAACUCCGUGCCAGCAGCCGCGGUAAUACGGGGGAUGCAAGCGUUAUCCGGAUUUAUUGGGUUUAAAGGGUGCGUAGGCUGUGAGGUAAGUCAGCGGUGAAAUGCCCCCGCUCAACGGGGUGAAGUGCCAUUGAUACUGCCUGGCUGGAAUGCGGAAGCGGUGGGAGGAAUGUGUGGUGUAGCGGUGAAAUGCAUAGAUAUCACACAGAACACCGAUUGCGAAGGCAUCUCACGAAUCCGCGAUUGACGCUGAUGCACGAAAGCGUGGGUAUCAAACAGGAUUAGAUACCCUAGUAGUC